Molecule: long non-coding RNA, 1841 nt
Filed under: Mus musculus (house mouse)
Lineage: Eukaryota; Metazoa; Chordata; Mammalia; Rodentia; Muridae
Description: long non-coding RNA chr2:16427616-16429457
Source: RNAcentral
UGAAUUAUUUUCUGCAUUAUUAUUAUUAUUAUUCUAUAUUAUUAUUUUCUGUAUGUGUUAUAUGUCGAUAUUCAUGUCUGUGAACAUGUAUGCACAAGUGUACACCUAAUUGUGUUGACCAUAGGAUGAUGAUACAUAUCUUCCUUAAUAUCUUCACUUACAUUUUUGAUAGUGUUUUCCACAGAACCAGGCAUUAACAUAUUUGGCAGAAUUAGUUGACAGCAAGUUCUAAGAACUAGGUGACAGCUAAUCUUAGUGAUCCGUCUCUUUCUAACAUCCCUUCACUAGGAAUUAUAGGUUGAGACAGAGCUCUGCUAGGUAAUAUAUGUGGUUUCUAUAACUUCAAAUCAAGGAUUUGUUGUGUGUGGCAGGAGCUUCAAUCACUGAACCAUCUUUCCAGCCUUUUGAUUAUUUAAUUUUUAAUUGAGGCAGUUUUUAUUGCAUUGGUCCAUAAAAUCCUGUAGUAAAAAUUGAUUUAAAGGAAGGGAGAUUCUAUAUAAAGAUAUAAAGAUAGAUAGAUAGAUAGAUAGAUAGAUAGAUAGAUAGAUAGAUAGAUAUGGGAACUGUUUCAGUGCAUAUCAGACAAUGCUUCUGGUUGAUUAACACGGUGUUAAUGGCAAGUAGUUUAUGAUUUAUUAGCAAGUACUAACACUGUUUAGUGUACUUUGUGUUUGUCAUAAGACAUAUUAGAUAGUUUUGUCAUAAAAGAUAGACCAUGAAAGUGAGGAGUGGUCUAUUUAACUCUUAUACAACAAAUUCCUAUACCCUCAGUUUUGUAAUUCUCAUUCUAAAAGUUGUAAGUGAUUUUAGAAAGCCAUCAUUUCUGUACAAAAAUGUGUCUGACCAGAAUGAUAGUGAUUUCCCCUGAGAAGAGAAACUCUACUUAGGAAUUGUUUAGAUGGCUGCAAACUUGUAUUCAUGACAGAAUUGCUAUAAGCAAUAUUUUAUAGUCAGUUAAUAAUAUUCUAAAUAUCAGCUUGUCAGAAGCAGAAAUGACAGGUCUUCCCAGAAAUGGUACUUUCUAGAUGGGUUGCCAUUGAACUUUGAAGCAGGAGUCUGGAAUAUUUGGUUUAGUGAGUGACUUCAAAAGUUGCAAGUCAAUCAUUCUCAAAGAUGAUUUCCUUUUAAUACUUAUCUGCACCCAGAACGUGGACCUGGCAGGAGAGUUCUCCCUACAAUGUGAUAGGGUUAAUAAAAGCAGCCACAGGAAGUCUUUAAAGGGAAAACCAGAAGAGGGCAUUGCAUCCCCCUACAGAUGGUUGCAGAAUUGAAUUGAACUCAGGAGCUCUGGAAGAGCAGUCAGUGUUCUUAACCUCUGAGCCAUUUAAUGUUCCAAGUCUUUAGUGAUCAGAGAAAUGCAAAUCAAAACGACCCUGAGAUUCCACCUUACACCAAUUAGAAUGGCUAAUAUCACAACCUCAGGUGACAACACAUAUUGGAGAGGUUGUGGAGGAAGAAGAGCACUCCUCCAUUGCUAGUGGGAUUACAAACUGGAAAUCAAUCUGGAGGUUCCUCAGAAAAUUGGAGGUAUAUCUACCUGAAGACCUAGCUAUACAACUCUUGGGCAUAUACCGAUAAUGUGCCCCACCAUGCCACAGUGGCACGUGUUCCACUGGGUUCAUAGCGACCUUAUUUGUGAUAGGCAGAAGCUGGAAACAACCUAGAUAUCCCACUACAGAUAAUGUGGUUCAUUUAUACAAUGGAAUUCUACUCAGAUAUUAAGAAUGAGGACAUCCUGAGUUUGUAGGCAAAUAGAUGGAACUGGAAAAUAUCCUGAGUGAGGUAACUCAGCCUCAAAGGGACGUGCAUGGUAUGUACUAACUAAUAAGUGGAUAUUAGCC